GGCAAGCCUUAAGAAAGCAGGCGAACAGGCAGUCGGUAAUCUGGCGGGGGGCAAACGUUCGGGGCCGCGGGAGCGUAAAGUGAGUUUUCGCUCGCGGCUGCUUCGCAAUGCCAGGCAGUCGAGGUGAGUCGAGUCGAGUCGAGCGGAGCCGAGCCUCUUCGAGUCAGUCUUGGACGUGGCCCCGUCGCAUCCUUCUCGGCGCUGCCUGGUGUUGUGUCCUGGUGCACGGCUACCACCUGUCGAAAUCGAACGAUCUUUAUCGCGUAACGUCCAAGCACCGCUGACCGUUCGCUCGAUACUCUCGAAAUGGCUGCAGUCUAAAAAACCGUCAAGGAUCGUCGGCUCAGUGAAUCACGACGGUUCGAUCGCCUCUGCACGCAUUCCUCUCUCUCCCUCCUUUGCUUCUCUCUUUUUCUUCCCCGCGACAUUUGAUCGCUCGAAGGACUUUGUUGUUUUCUCAUCGACGAUGACGUCGUCCAACCGGUGCAUCGGUUGAGACCACGUCCUUUUUGGUGCAGUGAUUUCGUGCGUGCGUGUUCGAGAGGAUCAGCUGGAAGCGAGCGCUGUUCAACAGAUUGGCCUCACCGAGGCGGAAGGAGUUAAUCAACGAGAGGGGUGCCCAUGCCGAGCGUCAGGAAAAAUCAGCAGGAGGGUCUUAGGAGAGGAACAUUCUCAAAGACGAGCUCGAACUCGUAGGAAUUGAAUUUGUGAACGUGGACGAUCGUGCGAGAACGUUCGAGCUUGAAAAUGUUAUCGAAAACGUGUUCCGAGAUCAUGGCGGGACUAAUAUUGUUGGCGUUCACGGCGAUAACAUUCAGAGAAGUGCAAGGACACGUUGCUCUAACCUUCCCUCGAGCAAGGAAGUACGACUUGGACUUUUUGGAUAAUGCUAGGACACCUGGUCCCUGUGGAAUGCCUCGUGGCGAUGUUAAAACCACGUUUCUGUCUGGGAGUAACUUCAAUGUCACGUGGCAUCUGGCUUACCCCCACCGAGGAGGAUUUCGCUUGCAAAUCUUGGACGCCCUCGACCGACCACUGGUGGAUCUGACUCCUGUCACGAAAAAUAGCGAGUUCGUGGAAGAUGACGCCACGGCACAAAGUUACGCGGUGCAAUUACCUCAGAAUUUCACAUGCACAGACUGCACGAUUCGACUUUUGCGAGAGGCCGAAGAGUGGGGAUCGAGUUACCGAUUUUGGUCCUGCGCAGAUAUAGACAUUAUCGACAGAAAAAGCUACAGAGAAGAUUGCAGCGGUCAUGGCCGAUAUCUUCUGGGUCGAUGCAGAUGCGAUCGACUGUAUCACGGUACAAGGUGCGAAUUUAAGGAGGAAUGUCUGGACGAUUCCGACUGCGGUAUUCAGGGCACGUGCAUUGACAAUGGCGGCACGACCGCGCCCACCAAGCACUGCUAUUGCAAUAUUGGCUGGUUCGGACCGGGCUGUGCCAAGAAAUCGCCGAUCAAGACCAUCGACGUAGACCUGGACUCUUACACGAUGAAAAAGUUCUCGGACAAUUUCACGUUUUAUUGGCGGAUAUUGAAAGAGAGCAAAGAACUGGAAGGAGUGAUGGUAGUGAACAGCACUAGUUGGGUCGGAAUUGGCUGGCGUCCAAGUGACCUGACUCCCUUAUGUCGAUCUUUCCCAAACAUACAAGAAAGACCGAAAGACGAACCGCUUCCGCAGCCGGAACCGAAAUCGGAACCCGAACCAAAAUCCGAGCCAAAAUCUGAGCCAAAAUCUGAACCGAAGGCUGAACCGAAGCCUGAACCCGAGCCUGAGCCGCAGCCUGAGCCUGAACCCGAACCUGAACCCGAGUCUGGAACCGAAAGGUCCAGCGCUAAGAGAAGGUCGGCAAAAGCGCAUGAUAUCGCGGCGCUAGCUGCGACUCCUAGGUCAGACACCGACGUGACGGUGCAGACGAGUGUUACUUAUCGCGUUAGCACGAGGCAAGGGCGCAAGAAGAGGUCUCCAGAGUCGACUGCAGUCACAAAUGGGGAACCCGUCGCCGAGCCGAGCACUGUCAACAGCACCAACCCUGAACCAGAACCUAGUUCAGAACCUGAACCCAAGUCUGAACCUGAACCCAAGUCCGAGCCUGAACCGAGUUCCGAGCCAGAACCCAAGUCUGAGCCUGAACCAAGCUCUGAACCAGAACCUAAGUCUGAACCUGAACCAAGUUCUGAGCCAGAACCUAAGUCUGAACCUGAACCAAGUUCCGAGCCAGAGCCUAAAUCCGAACCAGAACCAAAAUCCCAGUCAGAAUUCGUUCCUCAAGUCAAAUCAGAACACGCAAGUGAAAAAUCCAAAGCAAAGCUCAUGUUGCCACCUGAAUAUGAACCCAACUCUGAACCCGAGCCCAAGUCCGAACCAGAACCAAGUGCUGAGCCAGAGCCCACCUCAGAACCCGAACCAAAAUCCGAGCCAGAACCCAAGUCCGAACCAGAACCGAGUUCAGAACCCGAACCAAAAUCCGAACCUGAACCCAAGUCCGAACCAGAACCGAGUUCAGAGCCAGAGCCAAAAUCCGAACCAGAACCCAGUUCCGAACCAGAGCCAAAUUCUGAACCGGAAUCCAAGUCAGAGCCGGAGCCAAAGUCUGAACCCAGCUCGGAACCGGAGCCGAAUUCAGGUCCAAAGUCAAGCGCAACGAAAGCUAUCCUACCUGGAGCAGGCCACAAGUACACGCCGAAGCACGAUUUCAACCCUAUGGACUGCACGGACAUCAUUAUCGGAUCUGCUCGCGGUGAGAGUCACAGGAUCGGUGACUAUUAUACGAGGGACAGGUCCACGCCUCGAAAGGACGAGUACUGGGGUGGCAGGGAAACUCUAACUGCAGCCAUGGGUUACGAACGCAAUGGAGUCACAACGAUACUCUUCAGACGAAAAUUAGCAGCGAACGAACCGACCGAUCACGAGAUUGUCGAUGCUAAUAUGCAGGUGAUAUGGGCUAAAGGUCAGGAACCUGGCAAGUACGUUCACCACCCACCCAGUGGCGUCGAGAAGGCCAAGGUUAGCGUGAAGGACUUUUACAAACCUGACGAGCUCAAGUACCAUGGACAUGGGUCGCAGAGAGGAGCAGUGACGCUUAAUUUCUUUGACGAAAAGAACAGACAAGAAGCAGCAGGUGGCAACGCUACGAUGCAGGUUUCGAAUUGCAGCGGUGAAUGGCAUUAUCCCAGACAUUGUGUUCCCGAGAAUGGUACCUGUGAAUACUCUAUUCAAUGGUCGUACAAGACACGAAAGGACCAGUUAUCGUUCAUCAUCUCGACGACCAAUACGAAUACUUGGACCGGGGUUGGAUUCUCCAACGAUCAGAAAAUGUCUCAGACGGAUGCGGUGUUAGGUUGGGUAGACGACAAAUCGGGUCGACCUUUUCUCAUGGAUACUUGGAUCAGCGGAUACAAUGCCCCGCUGCUCGAUCCGUCUCAAGAUAUCUACAACACCGGCGGCAGCAAAGUGGAUGGCGUAACGACGCUCAAGUUCUCGAGGAAGCGAGUAACAAACGACAAUAAGGAUCUCUCGUUCACGGACGAGCACUGCUUGUACAUGAUGUACCCCGUCAAGGGUGGCAUGUUCAAUGCUGUCAGCAAGAAAAUACGCAAGCACGAGGCUGUACCCAUUGUCUCGUCCGAGAGGAUAUGCAUUAGAUCUUGCGGCCUCGAAGAACUGGAGGAGAUCACCACACCAGCACCGCCCAGGUGGCACUAUAACGUUGAAGUGAAGCUGAUAAAUCUUGGCGACGGUUUCAUGACGCCUGCUCCAGGUACUCCUGACUUCGAGGUCAUCUCGAACAGAAUAUCAGACAGCUUUGGUCCGGUUCUUGACAAGCUACCCGGCUACUACCAAAUUCGCCUGAACGAGCUACAGAAGAAUGACGAGAAAGAUGGCGUCAUCGCUCGCAUGGAUCUGAUCCUGGAUAAAAACGAAGUGAAAGGUAGAUCGUUGAAACCUCUGGACACGAGUGCUGCGGCAGAGAAGGCGUUGAAGGAGGCUCUGGUUAAUGGAAAGGUCGGUGCACUCAGUGUUGACCCUCAGUACCUGGUCGUCAGAGCUCCUCGAGUAACAGAUUUGGGUGGCGGAGAAGAACCAGAGGAUUCAUCGUCAACAUUCGGCUCGAACUUGUUCCUCGACGCGACCAAACUGUACAUUCUUGUGGGCUGCGUUGCUGCAUUGCUUGCCCUUGCUCUUCUACAAGCGAGCUGCACCCUCUACAGAUCAUCCAGGAGGCGAGCAACAAAGAGGGUGUACUCGCUGCCUCUGGCUUCUUGUGACGCGCCCAACCCGAUUCAUCGAACGAACGCGACGCGGUAUCAUCGACAAAACGGCGAUCACCAUCACCAUCACAACAACCACCACCAUCAUCUUCGGCAUCAUCACCAACACGCUCCGUACGAUAUGCAUCGUCCUAAUCCCAGCUGGUAGAACUUCACACUCGGUACACGAUCAAGGCGCGUUAAUAUCACUCGUCGUACCCUCGUUCGCUCGCUAAUCCAGGAUCGUCUAAUCGCCAGUAACGCUUGGAAGGACUACGCCUCCGGCGCGAAUACAAACUUCGCUUUCGAAGCGUUCGAAACGGAAGAGAAG
Molecule: unclassified non-coding RNA, 4581 nt
Filed under: Megachile rotundata (alfalfa leafcutting bee)
Lineage: Eukaryota; Metazoa; Arthropoda; Insecta; Hymenoptera; Megachilidae
Description: uncharacterized LOC100878906, transcript variant X3
Source: RNAcentral